UGAUCUCAAAUCAGAUAAGAGUACCCGCUGAACUUAAGCAUAUCAAUAAGCGGAGGAAAAGAAACUAACAAGGAUUCCCUUAGUAACGGCGAGUGAAGCGGGAAGAGCUCAAAUUUGAAAUCUUCAAGGUUUUACCUUGACGAAUUGUAGUUUAAAGAAGUGUUUUCUGUUGAAGUUUUGGUAAAAGUUCUUUGGAAUAGGACAUCAUAGAGGGUGAGAAUCCCGUAUUUGACCAUUAUUUUCAGCUGUGUGAUACACUUUCAAAGAGUCGGAUUGUUUGGGAAUGCAGUCCAAAAUGGGUGGUAAAUUUCAUCUAAAGCUAAAUAUUGGCGAGAGACCGAUAGCGAACAAGUACCGUGAGGGAAAGAUGAAAAGAACUUUGAAAAGAGAGUUAAACAGUACGUGAAAUUGUCAAAAGGGAAGCGUUUGACACCAGUGUUGUUUUCUCGAAAAUCAAUUAAAAAGAGUUAGAUUUUGUUGUGUAUUGACCUUAACAGCUUGCAUUUCAAUUUUCUUGCUUUUUUUAAUGCACUUUUCGUUUAACAAGUCAACAUCAGUUUCUUUUGUUGUAAAAAGGUCAUUGGAAGGUGGCUUUCUUUUCGGAGAAAGUGUUUAUAGCCUUUGACUCCUGCAAUCGGAGAGACUGAGGUCUGCAGCGUAGAUCCUUCGGGGUUAGAUACAUUUGUGCUAAGUUAUAGCUUUUUAUAGACAACUUGUUGACUAUGAUUAGUCUUGUAGCUUACUCGCUUAUGCUAUUUUACCUACGCUUAGGAUGUUGACAAAAUGGUUUUAAACGACCCGUCUUGAAACACGGACCAAGGAGUCUAACAAAUAUGCGAGUAUUUGAGUGGAAAACUCAUAUGCGUAAUGAAAGUGAUUUUGGUGGGAUUUUCGAUGCACCAUCAACCGGUCAGGAUUUUUUAUGAAGGAUCUGAGUCUAAGCAUAUUUGUUGGGACCCGAAAGAUGGUGAACUAUGCCUGAAUAGGGUGAAGUCAGAGGAAACUCUGAUGGAGGCUCGUAGCGGUUCUGACG
RNAcentral lists this non-coding RNA (1033 nucleotides) under Gelatoporia subvermispora B. Its description in RNAcentral is "Eukaryotic large subunit ribosomal RNA". It matches the Rfam family "Eukaryotic large subunit ribosomal RNA", at positions 1 to 891 of the family's 3401-position model. Lineage: Eukaryota; Fungi; Basidiomycota; Agaricomycetes; Polyporales; Gelatoporiaceae. The record is from Rfam by way of RNAcentral.